Molecule: long non-coding RNA, 1817 nt
Organism: Siniperca chuatsi (mandarin fish)
Lineage: Eukaryota; Metazoa; Chordata; Actinopteri; Centrarchiformes; Sinipercidae
Exons: 2
Source: RefSeq, a predicted model, not a curated record
CAGAAACCAAAACAAAUUAAAUUUUUAGUUUGUUGGCUGCCUCUUAAGGCGGGGAGACCCAUCGUGCCUAUAAUGACAAGGGAAACUCCGACACACAUACACAUGCUGAGAGCAGCUGUAAAGAAGACUCAGUGUGAUCCGUAGGGAGUCCACAGCUCGCAGAGUUAAUGAACUAAGAGCUGGUGGCACAGAGGCAGCUUGGACAGAGAGGUGGAAGGAUGGAGGGAAGCAGAGGGAGGGCAGUGUUGUGGAAGCCUGGCUUAAGGGUGUUUCCAUGGUAGGAUUGCCCAGGAAUCUGAUGCUGGUGCCAGACGCGGGGAAACCCUCAUCAAAAACAAGGGUUGCACACCCAUCAUCACCAGUCCAGAGCCUGCAAAUGGCCCUAAAGACAGUCAGAUUAAGAGCUCAAAUAGAACCAGAGCAGCUACUGACCCAAACAAGAGUGUUAAGUUGUAUAUCCGGUCAUUUCUUUCUCUUUGUUGCUAUAAAACAAAUUGUCCAAUUCCUUGUCUUUUAGACUGGCGUUUUAGUUCAAUUUGUGAUGGAGACAGAAGUGAACUCAUUGGUUGGGUUAAACUUUGUGGGGCAGAGCUAAAGAACUAGAGUUAUUGUGAAUAAGUCAGGCCGGGUUGGACUUGGAGUCUUGUGAAAAAGGCAACUGGUAUUAGAGGAUAAAAUAAUUAAGCAUGAAAGUUUAUUCUUGACCUUGAAAAAAGCAGUUUGACAAAAAGGAAUCUAAACUUAAAGUCCACUUAUUAGUUUUUCUGUCACUUUCAUGGCAUCUCAUUGUCUUCCUCAGCAUAUGGAGUUUCAAUUAUUAUUAUUAUUAUAUGAUCGAAAUUAUUAUUACAAGAUUCAUUUUUCAGAACUUUUGAAAUGAAGGCUUGUCAAAUGAAGAGAGGAAAUGACAUUUAUCUUUGUUGAGAUUAAUUCUAUGGAUACACUUCCUUUACUAUGAUUUACUGGAGAUUACUAAUGGAAGGACGUUCAAUUCUAUAUUUUGAAUAUUUUAAAAUGUUUAAAUUCCUUUUUACUGAUUUGAGGAUACUCAUGUAUCAUGUAACUGAGUAGUAAAGUGAUGCACCCCCACAAAACAAUGUAUCAACUUUAUACUUUGCUUUGACCUGAAGUUAUUUUUAAUGCUCGGUAAAGCAACCAAAUAACAGCUAGCUUUACAUUAAUAUAAAAAUAGUGAUCAAACUGAAAAAGCUACAAAAGUAUUCUUAAUUCCCCAGAUUAGUUAGCCUAGCAUAACGUCAAAGUUCAAACUUCCCUGAUAAGCUAAUGAGCUAGCUUCCAAGUUUUAACAAACACAGAAAUCAUUUCCAAGUUUUUAUUUUUAUCCAGAGCUCCAUCUUUGCUUGCUGGCUAACUCAUUCUCCAAAAAGGUGUGUUUCUUUGUCUGUUUAUUGAGGUUUAGUCCAACCAGUGACAUUAUUGUUGUCUCCAGAGCGACACUGAUCUGCCCUCCUCUCUCAGGAAGAGAUCAGGGUUAAUCAAAGAGAUUGGGAAGAGGGGAACAAUGGAACUACUCCAUUGUACAGUGCUGGGGGGGGGGGGGCAGCCUUGAAUUCGUCCUUUCACAGGUGGAACAAUGAAAAGGUUUCCCUUUUUUUGAAUGAGUCAUAGGAUCACACGUGUUUACAUUGCUCAGCCUUGGCCCAAACUGUACCUCACGUUGCUUUGCUAAAGCUAAUCAAGGAAAUUGCUGUUUGUAAACCUCCUCGUAUCAACAUCUGGGAGCAGUCCCCUCUCCCUCCAAACCAAAACGGCUUAAAGUAAGAAAAAGAGAAACAAAUACUGAGGCAUGGCACACA